This is a long non-coding RNA of Sycon ciliatum, 2035 nucleotides long. RefSeq lists it as uncharacterized. The record is from RefSeq and is a predicted model, not a curated record. The transcript is spliced from 2 exons. NCBI's taxonomy places the organism in Eukaryota, Metazoa, Porifera, Calcarea, Leucosolenida, Sycettidae.
GCUCCGUUAUUUGCAGUGGCCAGUGCGAGGUUGUGUAUGAAUGGGGUACUUGGUAUUCAGUGCGACUUUCUCGUCAGCCAGUGCUAGUGUAGUUCUCGUCAGCCAGUAGUCAUACCUGAAGUAGGCAAAAUAGAAAUAGCCGGGGGCACCUUUGGAUGGGAAUAUCGUCACUGCACUGCAAAUGGAUCAGGUCGCCGCGGUGACGAUAAUGGCACCCUAUAAAAAGGCGUUGUCCACGACAUCAAGUUGAAGACUAGUUUUUGCUGAAUCUCCAGUUGAAUUCUUAUAAUAGGCUUUGGGCGCGACAAUUGGAUCUACUGCUAAUGCAUCGGAUCAGGACAGCCACAUCGGACACAAGAAAAAGAAGAGGAAACGUGGAGAGGUGCCCUUGAGGAGGAGGUAGAGCGGCUUGAAGCACAUUAGCAGAUUGAAAAGUCAGUGCAGCGCAUCUUCAAGCCACGACUGUCAAACGAGAAUCGGAAACUAGCAAUUUCCAGGGGAUCGUUCAGGGAACAUGGAGCACGCACUACUAUCACUACUCAGAGCAUUCUGUCUACACUGUCUACUCUGUCUACACUGUCUACUGCUGUACACAUCCUGUGUGAGCUCUGCACCGUCAUCUCCAUCUGACUAUGCCUCAGACGUCACUGAUGCACGAGGCGCAUACGAGGGACCUCAGUUGGAGCUACCGAGUGCCGUUCUACGCAAAGCGCGUUCGGCGGUGCCACACGAAGUAUUAGACGUGGCCCGCGGUCCAAUCAUCGACAAGUAUGUACAGCCGGAAAGCCCUCUUGUUGAUGCAGGUGAGCGAAACUUACGUUAUGAGCUUCGGCCAGCGCAUAGAGGACCAGUAUUCCAGCCAAACCGACCGGUUUUGCCAUCGUCGCAGUCGGGUGCCUCGGGCAUCACCCACACACAACGCUCUCUACCACAUAACAUGAGAUGUCAACCGCGAAAUGUUACCCGUCUCAUACGCUAUCGAGGUGAGGGUCUGGUAUGCGUGGGUAACGCCACAUUCGGUGUGUGUGACGGGUACUGCAAGACGACUGCGCGCACGAAGAUCAAGAACGACUACCCGUUCGUGAAAACCAUUCACCGCUCAUGUCACUUGUACGAAGCAACUGCAGCAAUGGCCAGACUAGUGUGUAGGUAUGGUCCCGGGCAGUCACGUGGUCCCGGGCAGUCACGUGGACGCACACUGAUCACACCUAACGCUACCGCAGAGAAAACCAUACCCAUUCUACACGCUACCAGGUGUGUGUGUAAGCAAUGCGUGGAAAGCCUGGAUGUGGUGCAAACCUAGGGAUUAUGCUAGCCAGUCCUCUGACGUCAGCUCUUCUAUGCGAAUUCACGUCUCCGAACUCACCUUUCCGAAUUUGCCCCUCCAGAGUGGAGUUACGGAACCCUGACGUCAUGACCUAAACCAUUGGUUACAAGGUGUCAUGACAUGAGCAUCAUUCUGUGCAUUCACAACGUCACAAGCAAAGCGCAUUCAAUGGAAAUCUGCUUCUAAAAUUACAUUAUGAUACUCGUGCGACUCGGGUGAAUGUUUCAUGCUAUUGGUCAUAUUCAGCUACUUGUUGAUGCUCAGAUACGAAAUGAUCCGGUUUACUGUAGCAAGCCUCUUUUGAUCAGGCUUACUUUGUAAUUCUACGCAUUGGUUCGAGACCACAAAGCGCACACACUCCCAUAUGAGGCUCACUGACAAUGAUUUCCUCGUUGAACUCAAAUUCAAAACUGAUUCCGAAUACAAUUGAAUAGAUUGCACCAGUUUAGUACCUAUUCAUCACGAAGCUGCAUAAAGAUGAAUUAUUCAUGUAUGUGAUUUACUCUAUCUGUGACCGGGAUUGAUUUCUGUGAUUCACUCUUCGCUCAGUAAUACACCAGUUCACUUCAGCACCACAUGCGAGACUUCCUAAAACUUCUGGCUGUGUUUCUCAACACUGUACAUCUUUGUACAUGUAGCUGGCUGUAACGCGAAUAAUAAUGUGAACUAUACUUCACAACGUUUCGUCAGAAUUCCCAAACUCCAUUG